This 21-nucleotide microRNA is filed under the name Mus musculus (house mouse). Its description in RNAcentral is "microRNA miR-L-20b". Lineage: Eukaryota; Metazoa; Chordata; Mammalia; Rodentia; Muridae. The record is from RNAcentral.
UGAUUCCGUGGGUGGUGGUGC